Molecule: long non-coding RNA, 1026 nt
Filed under: Lynx canadensis (Canada lynx)
Lineage: Eukaryota; Metazoa; Chordata; Mammalia; Carnivora; Felidae
Description: lncRNA (ENSLCNG00005016857.1)
Source: RNAcentral
AUGAUAACAGAAUUCUAUGAAUUUCAUUUUGAUUUUGUUUCUUCCUAGGACUUACACAAAAUAAACAUGCAUCAGGAUCCUCAAAGACAAGAAAAGAUUGAGAAAACGUGGAAGGUGGCAAAGGCUAAGGAGAAAUAACAACUGAAUGUAAAGCGGAUCCUGGAUCAGAAAAAAAGACAUUAGUGGGAAAAUGGCAGAAUUUCCAUUAAGAUCUGCAGCUCAGUUUAUAAUGUUGUACCACCGUGAAGUUCCUGUUCUCAAAAUAUCUACAAUUAGUUAUGUGGUUCCCUUUAGAGCAAGAGGGCUUGUGAGAUGUUAUAAAGACUGUACAUGGCCUGUUGUUGUACCUCUUCUAUAAUAUGAAAGUGAGUUGACAACUCCUUCAGGGACAAUCACAUUCACACAUUCAAUGAAGACUUGAGACAAGGAUCCUACCGCACAUCCUAGGCUUCCCUUGCCACCUCUUCAGACUGGUAUGGAGGGAAUGUGGCUGACUUUGAGUCGGAGUUCCCUCUUGUCCAGCAAGAAAAUGGAUGCAGAAUUGAAUACAAGAGAGGCUAAUGUCCGGGAGGAGACGAGAGCCCCAAGAUCUGCAAAACGAGGACUGAGCAGAUCACCUCCACAUUUCUUCCACGCUACAAUUCUAUGAAUUGGAAAUAAGGAGACUUCAGUAGGAUCCAUACCAUAGAGUUGUGAGGGGUGAAUGAGAGAAGCCAUGUAAAGCAUGAAGCCCAGGAAUAGGAACAGUAAGCGUUUGAGAAUGGAAAUUGCUGUUACCAUUAUCAUCAACAAGAAGUGCAAAAAGUCCAUUUUCCUAAAAAAGAAAUUGUAUAUUUAUAGAAACCACAUUGUUUAUCAUUUAUGAUCAGUUUUAAAGACAUAAGAAGUUUUAAUAUUGGUGUCAAAUGUGAAUUUUCUUUAUUAAAAUAUAAACAAAAAUAAACCCAUGUGUCAGCUGAGAGAGGGGGAUGUUUGUUAUUCAGUGGGCCACAGAGGGACCUUGUUUUAUUUGAUGUUGUCAUGGUC